UUCUUUAGCAAUAUAAGAAGGAAGAGGGUUUAUGGUUAGCAUGCUGACUACAAACAAUUUGUUUGGAACAUUGGCUUGUUUACCUCAAAACCUCUUUGUCUUGGUGUUUUGUGACUGUGGAUUUAUUUCCUUUUGGGAAAUGGAGUUUUAAAAGAUGUAGCUAAAAACAGUGAAGUGAAGAAACUUUCUCCAACAAGGCAAGCUGUUUAAGCAUUAAUGACUUUGGAAGUAGCUGAAAGAUCCGAAGACGUCCAACACCGUGCAGUGAUGAAGGACAGCAGAGUAAAGAAAAGAAACACAGAGCACACCUGCUAACUCCCGAGUCGCAGAGGAGCCAAAUUGGAAACAACACAUGCACCGACAAACCAGGAGGACGCUGCAAGACGCACUGACCUUCCCC
This is a long non-coding RNA of Pangasianodon hypophthalmus (striped catfish), 400 nucleotides long. RefSeq lists it as uncharacterized. The record is from RefSeq and is a predicted model, not a curated record. The transcript has 3 exons. Lineage: Eukaryota; Metazoa; Chordata; Actinopteri; Siluriformes; Pangasiidae.